GGUUUGCUAAUGCUUUUUAUGAAACUUACGCGAGACAAGAAAAUCCUUUGAGGCAAUAUACCGCUAAAUAGAAUUCCCUAAUAUAUAAAACUGACAUUUUUCAAAGAGCUACAAAACAUAGCUAGACCCAUUUUACAGAACAAAUACUUAUUUCAUUUUAUACAGCUAUGAUUAGGGUUAGAGUGAGAAAAGUAGGGGUCAUGUAUCUUCUAAGCAAAAUUUCUAGCGUCACACUUGUUACUAUAAAAUUACUUAAAAUUGCACUGCUGUGACGUGGAAGAACCAACAAUACUAAAAUUAAAAUUCACUUUAUCAAAUACAUCGUUUGCUCGCAUUUUUGCUACUAAAAUGUCAAAAGCAUAUCCAUGGUGAAAUUUAAACAGAAAACAGCUUAAAUUUAGACGUCUAUGGCCAUGCAGAGUUAAAAGGUAGUGUUGAAUAGCCUGUCCACCAUUACGCGACAAGGCCAGAUGCCGCCCACGUUGGUUCCUUUACAAAAGUCAGGUCUUUUAGAAGCACAGGCACGAAGUAAUGCACGAUAUAUUUUACCGAGAGACACGAAUGCAAAUUUCCGGCAAAACAUGAAGCGAGGCACGAUAUUCUACCAUGAAAUCUCUCGGGACGGGAUACUUUGACAUUGCGAGAUCUCGUGUUAUAAUAUCGUGCCUCCCUUCGUGUCUCGUCGGAAUGUCGCUUUUUGCCCGAUUCUGUGAGACCCGAUAUUCCAUAAUAAUGGCAUUAUCCGGAUCCUUUUUGGAACUCAUGCACGUUGUAAGUGCUUUUUCAAUGGCGGAUCUGAAAGCAGCAAUUCUCGGAAAAUGGCGAUAUUAUAUGUAUAUAUAUUUCUAUAUAUUUCUGGUGAAGACAAAAUACGUGCGGGAUGGUCUUCUCAUUUUCACUUAGAUCAUGUUGGGGCCUCCGUGGCAGAGUAAUUUAAAACAAAACACUUGCCCCAUAAAGCUGUAGGUUGACACUCACUCCGGGCGUCGAACUAUUCAUGCGAGGAAGUCUGUCCAGGGUCCAAAUGCGGAAUACGUAUUCGCGUGCGUACGUAAUAAUUAUCGCGUGCGCACGUAAUAAAUAAAUAAAUCAUAUGUCCCUUUCAUGCCACCGUGGAUAAUACCUUGUUGUUGCUUAGAAUAUUUCUUAAAUCAUUUAUAAUAUUUUUAGCAUCGGAAAGAAACGUGUCGCAAUUAAUAAUGAUAAGCAUGGACUCACCACAUAUCUGUUUGGAAGUGACCUAAAAUACAGAAAACAUAGAACAUGGCUUAGAGACGGUAUACGGACGGACAUAAUUAUUACCUGAAGAAUAUGAGACAAAUGUGCUUCGAGUGUCUUUUCUAUUGUGUGUCGAACACAUCUGUCUAAUUUUCAAUUUGUCGCAAAUAUGAAUUUUUACCAGCACAUCGGUCCCACCUCGUGAGACAAAUGUGUUCCGAGACAAAUGUGCUCCUACAUAGCUCUAUAACGAUGGCACUUUGCGAAGCAACGUAGCUUUUAUCAAAUGGUUGAGACAUUGUAUAGAGUGUGGUCCUUAUGUAAUUCUUAUGUAAUCUUGUUGUGAUUAAUGCUUCCGAGUGAUCACUUUGUUUCCAGAUUCUUAUACUUCACAACAGCAGGUGUCAAGUGCCGUCUGGCAGUUGUAAAAAGCUGCCCCGUAUUUCACUUCAGUGUUGCUAUAUUUUUCUGGUCCUUCGGGAUCAUUGAUGCCAACACUAUUUAGUAUUGAGAAUUUUAGUACCGCGAAUUGAGUACCGCUCAAGCGAAUUGAGUACCGCUCAAGCUGGUGCUAGGGGGCUUGAGGGAUGUUGCACUUAAUCAUUAUUCCUCAUGUACAGACUCAAUCAAACCGAGUCUGCAAUUCUUAUGGGAUCACCUUAUUUCCAGAUUCUUAUACUUCACAACAGCAGGUGUCGAGUGCCGUCUGGCAGCUGUAAAAAUUUGCCCCGUACUUCAUUUCAGUGUUGUUAUAUUUUUCUGGUCCUUCGGGAUCAUUGAUGCAAACACUAUUAAGUGUUGAGUAUUGAGUACCGCUUAAGCCUGUGCUAGGGGGCGUGAGGGAUGUUGCACUUAAUCAUUAUUCCUCAUGUACAGACUCAAUCAAACCGAGUCUGCAAUUCUUAUGUUAUUUUGUUGUGAUUUAUGCUUCCGAGGGAUCACUUUGUUUCCAUAUUCCUAUAUAAAAAGUUUAACAUUGUCGCAUGGAGUGUGGUAUUAUAUAAAAACGUAAAAAGUUGUCGUAUGAUGUAUGUUUUUAGAAGAAUUGACUUGAAACUCAUACAUUAUUUUCUAGCUUUGCCUUGAAUUUAGUGACCAAAUUAUUAAAAUGAUUUGAUGGUUUGUUGUUUCAAUUGAUUAUGUUUUAUUUGUGUUGUUUCCUUUAUUUUCUGUCAUCAGGUAGAAAAGGUAUCGGAUACGAGCCCAAUAUUUCCGGUUAGUAUAGAAGCUGACGUAUAGGAGGGUUAAAGAUCAAAAACACCGACACAUGACAUUUACAUCUGAAACUUAUUUACCGUUGAAAUAGUUCUUCGUUCAAAAGGAAAUAAAAUAAUAGUAUCUAA
This is a long non-coding RNA of Ruditapes philippinarum (Manila clam), 2561 nucleotides long. RefSeq lists it as uncharacterized. The transcript has 2 exons. The record is from RefSeq and is a predicted model, not a curated record. NCBI's taxonomy places the organism in Eukaryota, Metazoa, Mollusca, Bivalvia, Venerida, Veneridae.